GACGAACGCUGGCGGCGUGCCUAAUACAUGCAAGUUGAGCGCUGAAGGUUGGUACUUGUCCCGACUGGAUGAGCAGCGAACGGGUGAGUAACGCGUGGGGAAUCUGCCUUUGAGCGGGGGACAACAUUUGGAAACGAAUGCUAAUACCGCAUAAAAACUUUAAACACAAGUUUUAAGUUUGAAAGAUGCAAUUGCAUCACUCAAAGAUGAUCCCGCGUUGUAUUAGCUAGUUGGUGAGGUAAAGGCUCACCAAGGCGAUGAUACAUAGCCGACCUGAGAGGGUGAUCGGCCAAAUUGGGACUGAGACACGGCCCAAACGCCUACGGGAGGCAGCAGUAGGGAAUCUUCGGCAAUGGACGAAAGUCUGACCGAGCAACGCCGCGUGAGUGAAGAAGGGUUUCGGAUCGUAAAACUCUGUUGGUAGAGAAGAACGUUGGUGAGAGUGGAAAGCUCAUCAAGUGACGGUAACUACCCAGAAAGGGACGGCUAACUACGUG
Molecule: ribosomal RNA, 497 nt
Filed under: uncultured bacterium
Lineage: Bacteria
Description: partial 16S ribosomal RNA
Rfam family: Bacterial small subunit ribosomal RNA
Source: RNAcentral